Molecule: long non-coding RNA, 1055 nt
Filed under: Monodelphis domestica (gray short-tailed opossum)
Lineage: Eukaryota; Metazoa; Chordata; Mammalia; Didelphimorphia; Didelphidae
Description: lncRNA (ENSMODG00000049473.1)
Source: RNAcentral
AGCUAUGAGACAUAGAUUGGAAGUCUGGAAAGCCUAGCAGAGGGUUGAGAGAUGCAUUUUAUACAAUUCAAUCGAAGUUCCUAAUCAAUCACCCAAUGAGUGUCCAAUCAUUAUUGUCUCCAUCUUAUAAAUGAGGGAACAGGUUAGAGAAGUGAAUUGCCUUUAAGUUGGUAUAUCUAGAAAGCAAUGAAUUGAAGACUCAAAUCUCAGUUCACUUAUUCCAAUAGCCACUGUUCUUUCUACUUGUAUAAUUCAGUAACUUUCUAGACAAAAAAGAAUUUUUAGCUAAUAUAUAAAUAAAAUACAAUCUCAUUUUAAUGCUAUGAGUCCAGAUAACAAGCAUUUAUGAUUCUGUGAGGUAAGUACUACAGGUAUUCUCUCCAUUUUAUAGAUGAGGAAACUGAGACUCAAAGAGUUGACAUAUAGGGAGUAUGCAAUAAUUUCAUCUCCUAGUUGAUCAAUUAGCUGAGUGUGGCCAUAGGCACUGAGGUCAUAGUGAGUCCAUGUAGAGAUUAUACUGGACUUUUUACCAAAAGGUCACAAAAGCAGUAACAUCUUGAAUGUGGCAUUGAGCACUGUGGGGAAAAGAUCAAGGUAGAACUUCUAUCUCAAUCGCCACAGAAGGAUGAAGCCAGGUUGGGAUGUAAGAGGAUCCUGCCUUGGUUCCAGCCCACUUUUUUCUCUUCUCUGAAGCCAUUCAUACACUAAAACAUUACCAGACUCUGUUGCAGGACAAGAACAAGCUGGAAUGUGAGCCAGAGACUUCCGAAGAUCUGAAAAUGUGGGCUGGUGCCUCUCAUACAUCCCUUCCUCACUCCCAGCUUUCCAGAAAGGCAAAUUGGAACUCAGAAGGAUUAAGCAACUUAUCCAUGGUUAUAUGUUCCAUGAUUCAAUGAAGAUAACUGUGAAACGCAAAGGUCCUUGAGUCCUAAGUCCCACUCAGGUAUUAAAGAAUAUUUGAAGAAUUCUUUUGACUGAUGAGAUGAUUUCUUAUCAAGAAUUUCCUUCAACCAUAACAUUCUAUUUUGAUACUUCUUCAAGGCUAUUUAACUUGG